UGGACGAUCAGUGCAUUUGGAUGGGGACAUGUAGUUGGAACCCCCUCCCCUUUUGUCCAGGGUUAGGAUCCCCCUUUUUAAAAUGGCUGGACCCGCCCCUGCCGCUUUCAUAACACUUCUUUUUAGCAUACUGAAUAUUAUGAUGUUCUUACUAUUAGUUCAGGUCCUGAUAAAAAAAAAUACACAUUCAGUACAGAAAGAAGUG
RNAcentral lists this long non-coding RNA (205 nucleotides) under Mytilus galloprovincialis (Mediterranean mussel). Lineage: Eukaryota; Metazoa; Mollusca; Bivalvia; Mytilida; Mytilidae. The record is from RNAcentral.